This 386-nucleotide ribosomal RNA is filed under the name uncultured bacterium. RNAcentral describes it as "bacterial SSU rRNA". It matches the Rfam family "Bacterial small subunit ribosomal RNA", at positions 28 to 416 of the family's 1533-position model. The record is from RNAcentral.
GACGAACGCUGGCGGCGUGCUUAACACAUGCAAGUCGAGCGGUAAGGCCCUUUCGGGGGUACACGAGCGGCGAACGGGUGAGUAACACGUGGGUGACCUGCCCUUAGCUCUGGGAUAAGCCUGGGAAGCUGGGUCUAAUACCGGAUAUGACUCCAUGACGCAUGUUGUGGGGUGGAAAGCCUUGUGCGGCUAGGGAUGGGCCCGCGGCCUAUCAGCUUGUUGGUGGGGUGAUGGCCACCAAGGCGACGACGGGUAGCCGGCCUGAGAGGGCGACCGGCCACACUGGGACUGAGACACGGCCCAGACUCCUACGGGAGGCAGCAGUGGGGAAUCUUGCGCAAUGGGCGAAAGCCUGACGCAGCGACGCCGCGUGUGGGAUGACGGCC